GCCGAGCGGAGCAUAGGCGUCGGGUCGGUUCCGCCGCGCGCUCGUCGUCUCGUCACCCCCACCCCCGCCGGGCACGGGCGACGGGCAGGUCCCGGCGUUGCAGGAGGGGAGAGCUCCCUGCUCGGGGAAGUUUAGUGACCCACUCGGUGGUGGUGGCGGCUUUGAUUUGGGGAAAAAAAGAAGGCGAGGAUGGAGUCCUAAAUUUGAGCAGCUGGAUUUUUCCUCGCUUUGAAAUCCCGGCGCCCCGGAUGAUGGCAGAACUUCAAGAGGUGACACUGUUCUUUCGACUAAACCCAGUUACUGAUUUUUGACUUAAUGUAAUGAUGAACUGUUCCCAGGAGAUGAAAAGGAAGAAGUAGGAACUAAAAGAGUGAUGUAACUGUGCUGAGAUACCUACCUCCCUGCUGAGUGGAACAAUGCUGCUUUCUUUUUGGGAGAAAUGAUAAAUGGAUAAUAAACAGAUUGCCGAAGCUGAGCUUCUCAGGACAGGAUGACUUCUAGUUCUGUCAUCCAUUCUCUUUUGAG
Molecule: long non-coding RNA, 525 nt
Organism: Pyrgilauda ruficollis (rufous-necked snowfinch)
Lineage: Eukaryota; Metazoa; Chordata; Aves; Passeriformes; Passeridae
Exons: 5
Source: RefSeq, a predicted model, not a curated record